This 70-nucleotide transfer RNA is filed under the name Dipodomys ordii (Ord's kangaroo rat). It matches the Rfam family "tRNA". Rfam says of the family: Transfer RNA (tRNA) molecules are approximately 80 nucleotides in length. Their secondary structure includes four short double-helical elements and three loops (D, anti-codon, and T loops). The record is from Rfam by way of RNAcentral. Lineage: Eukaryota; Metazoa; Chordata; Mammalia; Rodentia; Heteromyidae.
GGGAAGGUGGUUCAGUGGUAGAGUGCUUGCCUUGCAUGCAUGAGGUCCUGAGUUUGAUUCCUCAGCCCCA